RNAcentral lists this ribosomal RNA (547 nucleotides) under Rhacodactylus leachianus (New Caledonia giant gecko). RNAcentral's name for it is "partial 16S ribosomal RNA". It matches the Rfam family "Bacterial large subunit ribosomal RNA", at positions 1850 to 2612 of the family's 2925-position model. Lineage: Eukaryota; Metazoa; Chordata; Lepidosauria; Squamata; Diplodactylidae. The record is from RNAcentral.
AGGUCCCGCCUGCCCAGUGAUCUUAUUUUUAACGGCCGCGGUAUCCUAACCGUGCAAAGGUAGCGUAAUCAUUUGUCUCCUAAAUAGAGACUUGUAUGAACGGCUAACUGAGGGCCUAACUGUCUCCUAGAGCUAAUCAAUGAAACUGAUCUUCCAGUACAAAAGCUGGAAUAAGCACAUAAGACGAGAAGACCCUGUGGAGCUUAAAACCAAUACUAUAAAAAUAUCUCCUACUAAGGAAUGUACAUUACACCCACUAUAAAUCAUAGUAAAAGUUUUUAGUUGGGGCGACUUUGGAACAAAACAAAACUUCCAUGCCAGGGACUAUAUCCCUAUUAAGGCUAACAUGCCAAAAUAUAAUUUUUUUGACCCAGCAUGCCUGAUCAACGAACCAAGUUACCCCAGGGAUAACAGCGCCAUCCUCUUCAAGAGUCCCUAUCGACAAGAGGGUUUACGACCUCGAUGUUGGAUCAGGACACCCCGGUGGUGCAACCGCUACCAAAGGUUCGUUUGUUCAACGAUUAACAGUCCUACGUGAUCUGAGUCA